Molecule: ribosomal RNA, 444 nt
Filed under: Klebsiella pneumoniae
Lineage: Bacteria; Pseudomonadati; Pseudomonadota; Gammaproteobacteria; Enterobacterales; Enterobacteriaceae
Description: bacterial SSU rRNA
Rfam family: Bacterial small subunit ribosomal RNA
Source: RNAcentral
CGCAACGAGCGCAACCCUUAUCCUUUGUUGCCAGCGGUCCGGCCGGGAACUCAAAGGAGACUGCCAGUGAUAAACUGGAGGAAGGUGGGGAUGACGUCAAGUCAUCAUGGCCCUUACGACCAGGGCUACACACGUGCUACAAUGGCAUAUACAAAGAGAAGCGACCUCGCGAGAGCAAGCGGACCUCAUAAAGUAUGUCGUAGUCCGGAUUGGAGUCUGCAACUCGACUCCAUGAAGUCGGAAUCGCUAGUAAUCGUAGAUCAGAAUGCUACGGUGAAUACGUUCCCGGGCCUUGUACACACCGCCCGUCACACCAUGGGAGUGGGUUGCAAAAGAAGUAGGUAGCUUAACCUUCGGGAGGGCGCUUACCACUUUGUGAUUCAUGACUGGGGUGAAGUCGUAACAAGGUAACCGUAGGGGAACCUGCGGUUGGAUCACCUCCUU